CAGAGUACUUUACUCACAAACCCCUGUGAACUUACCACAUUUUGUUGCUUCGGCGGGCUGUAUCUCGCCACCUCUCUCUCCGGAGGGGUGCCUGGUGCGCUAAGGCUCGCCGAGGGUAUUAAAACUCUUAUUAUUUACUGAGUCUUCUGAAUUUAAAAGAUAAAUAAAUCA
This 171-nucleotide unclassified non-coding RNA is filed under the name uncultured Asteromella. RNAcentral's name for it is "sequence contains ITS1". The record is from RNAcentral. Lineage: Eukaryota; Fungi; Ascomycota; Dothideomycetes.